RNAcentral lists this ribosomal RNA (465 nucleotides) under uncultured bacterium. Its description in RNAcentral is "partial 16S ribosomal RNA". It matches the Rfam family "Bacterial small subunit ribosomal RNA", at positions 338 to 795 of the family's 1533-position model. The record is from RNAcentral.
CCUACGGGUGGCAGCAGUGGGGAAUAUUGCGCAAUGGGCGAAAGCCUGACGCAGCGACGCCGCGUGAGGGAUGAAGGUCUUCGGAUCGUAAACCUCUGUCAGCAGGGAAGAACGGUCACUGUGCUAAUCAGCAGUGAAUUGACGGUACCUGCAAAGGAAGCACCGGCUAACUCCGUGCCAGCAGCCGCGGUAAUACGGAGGGUGCGAGCGUUAAUCGGAAUUACUGGGCGUAAAGCGCUCGUAGGCGGUAUGUCAAGUCAAGGGUGAAAUCCCCGCGCUCAACGUGGGAACUGCCUUUGAAACUGGCAAACUGGAGUGUGUGAGAGGAUAGUGGAAUUCCAGGUGUAGGAGUGAAAUGCGUAGAUAUCGGGAGGAACAUCAGUGGCGAAGGCGACUAUCUGGCACAUAACUGACGCUGAGGAGCGAAAGCGUGGGUAGCAAACAGGAUUAGAUACCCGGGUAGUC